Molecule: microRNA, 21 nt
Filed under: Panagrellus redivivus
Lineage: Eukaryota; Metazoa; Nematoda; Chromadorea; Rhabditida; Panagrolaimidae
Description: prd-miR-39-3p
Gene: prd-miR-39-3p
Source: miRBase by way of RNAcentral
UCACCGGGAACUCAUUCAUGC